This is a long non-coding RNA of Megalobrama amblycephala (Wuchang bream), 3564 nucleotides long. RefSeq lists it as uncharacterized. NCBI's taxonomy places the organism in Eukaryota, Metazoa, Chordata, Actinopteri, Cypriniformes, Xenocyprididae. The transcript has 3 exons. The record is from RefSeq and is a predicted model, not a curated record.
UACGGGUUUGAAACAACAUGAGGGUGAGUAAAUUAAUUUUGGGGUGACCUAACCCUUUAAUAAAUUCCAAACAUUCAUAAAUAGGGCACACAUGUACAAGCCUAUUCACAUUUAGCAUAGUACAACUUAGUGUUUUACAUGUACAGGAACACUGUGUGGGAUUGUUGGACUUCUUUCUGAGGUUUGGCUCCAGUAUAUUUAUGUCAGAAUGACUUUACAAAUGAUUUACACAAUUCAUUCUGCUCCAUUUUCAGGAAUAUGGUUCAAUGUGAAUUGCUAUUUACAACCCAUUUAAAUACAUAAUCUGGCAUAUUUCUGUUCAAAACGGGAUGUUCAAUGAGAAAAAAAUAGGUGGGAUUUUAUCCAUUGUGAACUGAUUGAAAAAUAGAAGUCUAAUUCGCUGCUGAUUCCUUCGAGAUUUUCCUUUGGGGCUUUUCAAUUUGUGAGUAAAAAAGGUCUGUGGUAAACAUAACUUGACGAUAGUUUGCCGUUUUGUUCUCCACAGCACACUCACACCCCAAACUGCCUUAUCUAGAUACUUAUUAAAAAUGUGCAUUUUCAAAAAUGAACAUAACUGCUUCAAAAUUUGCUUUUCAGUAUGGGUGUGUAAUUUACAUUGUAGAACAAAACGUCAAAGUAUUGUCAAAUUAUAUUUACCACAGGCUUUAUUUUACUCAUAAAUUGGAAAAACCCAUUAGAAACCCCAUAGGAAAAUCUUGAAGGAACCAGCGGCGAGUUUGGCUAGCCCUAAUAAUGGCAAACUGAACUGAAAUCAGUGUUGGUGAGUAACUAGCUAAAGAUAGUGACUCUUUUAUACUAAACAAUAACUGAUUUUAAAAUAGUAGCUUUUCCUGUAGAUCUCCACCUUUUUAACAAGUACUCAGUGUAGCUCGAUCAAAUACUAAACUGUUCAUUGUAAUGUUACAAUUCCAAAAUCACUUUGUUCACAGUUAUUGUGCCAUAAAAGCUUGUUAUAUUAUCAAUUAGAUAAGUAGAUGGCUAUUUAAAAAGAUAUGUUUUUUUUUUUUUUUUUUUUUAAGUAGCUUCAGUGCUACUUGCUAUUUUCUAUUAACAGUUAGUGUAGCUAAUUACUUUUUUAAAAGGGUCGCUUGAAUGUUGAACUGCUUUAAAUUCUGAUUAGCUUUUCACUUGGCAAGCUGCAAUUUCAAAGUAGCUUCUGGCUGGAACAGAUCUCAGAUCAACAGAAACAGUACAUUUGGACCAAUAAAUGACUGUGGUUAAUCUGUUGUGUAGCGACAUCCUGAUAUAGCUUCACUAUGUGACAGAAAAGAAGAACAGAGUUCAUUUUCAAUCUGUUGUUGAUUUAAUUGUAGCCCAUGCCGCCGCUGGCUCAUUGAUUUAACAUUUGGAGCUGGUCUGAGAUCAGCUGAAGUGCAGCGGUGAAUGACAGCACUCCAGUGGUGCGGGGAAGCUGAGGUGAAGCCUGCCAGACCGGGCACACCUGGGCCUGCAGGCAGAUGGUAAGGGCUCUGAGAGGUUACGCAAAACCGUGCCCAGCCAUAUGUCUUUCAACAGUACAGAAACUUCUGGAAGCCGCGAGAGCUCCAUCACGGCUGCGACCCGAACGAGUGCAGACUGAGCGUGUUCCAGCAUGAUCCCAGACCAGGUGUUGGGCAAAUUGUUUCCUUGCGCCUUCCUGAUUGGAGAGCGGCUGGAGAACAAGAGGAGGGCCGCAGCAGCCACAUGGAUGAGUCAUUGACCUUUAGCUGAGAACAGGGCCGUCAUGAGGAGCCUAAAGAUGAUGCAUUCAAAGUUUCAGGGAGUUUAAAGGACCCCAUUUGCUUACCAUGAUGUCAUUCCAAAAAGGAGAUGUUUUGAAGAAUGUCCUAACUGCUUAUUUACACCUAAAAUGAAGAUCAAUGGGGAUGAAUGUUGUCAAGCUUCAAAUAGGACAAAAAAAGCAGCAUAAAAGUAUCAUAGUAUGACUCGUACAUUAUGUUCCAAGUCUUCUGAAACCAUAUGAUAGCUUUGUGUGAGGAACAGACAAAAAUGGAUCUCGUUUUUCAAUUUCUCUUCACUUCUGAGAUCAAACGUCAGUCUUUAUAACCCUACCGCAUGACUUAAGAUGGUGUUUUUGAUUUCAGUUGGUGCUUUCCAAAUGGUGUUGAAGGCACUCAAGUAUUUGAAGAACAUGACCCCAGUCAUGCGUCUUGCUUCAGUUUGUGCAUAUGAUGGGAAAUCCAACAAAUGCAACCUUGAAAUCAAGAGUAUCGGCUACUAGUCAUGCUUCUUGUAAGAGAAAACCACCUUAUUUGCACUCCCCAUGGAUCCUGCUCCAUUGGAAACUCUUGUCUUGAGGUUUUUUAACAAAAGAUGAAGGUCCAGCAGCUGUUGCUUUGGAUGGAAGAAUCAGACUUGGAGUCUGAGGUUAGAACAAUAGUAGAAAUGCCAAAAGGAAUAUUUUCUGUCACUUGCUAAUGCAAAAAAUAUGCUUCAUUUGCCACUCAAAAUUACAUUUUAAAUGGUAUCUGAUGUUUGCCCAUUCAAACAGCAUUUUUCAGAAAUCCAGAAAGGAUACAAAGGCACUCUUAUGCCCAUAUUUUGAACUUUGGGCUAUUUUUAGCCCCAGGAUUUAGGCUUAAGUGAUCUCUGAGCUCCUUAGACUUUCAUUCUUGACUAAUUUUUCAUGGUAGAUUUCUGUACUAUGGUAAUACUGAGUCUAGAAGAGAAGCAAGCUUAACCAUACGCCAAGCAUGUAUAUUUUCACCAAUCCUAUAUUUUUUCCAGCAAAUAUGCAUACAAAAUUGGGAGAGGAAAAGAGGAUGAGUAAAACAAACGCAGCCAAAAUGUCUGUGAUAUGACUGAAAAUAAAUACCUUUAUAAUGCAGAUGUUUGUCAACCAGAAUAAAUUAGAUUUGAAUUAUUAUACAUAUCGAACGAUUAUAAAACAUCAUCAUAUAUAUAUAUAUGAUGUUUGACCGUUCAUCGCUCUAAUCACCAAAGACCCUAUAGCUCUUCUUUCCAAACACAAUGCCAGUCUGUGCUAAUGGCAGUGCCAGCCGUGUCUGCGAAGCCCUCAGGAAUGAUUGAUAGAUAGAAUUAUAUCAAGGUGACUUCUCUUCCCCUCCAUCAGGUUGUUUAGCUUGAUCGAUAAUAAGAAACACGUUUAAUAGGCAGAGCUGAACAGUAAAAGCCCAUUUAUCAGUGCAGUUAGCAUCUCCUCCCGCUGUCCCCAAGAUGACACCAGACCAUAAACCUAUGGGCUAUAUAGUCACUGAAAAUUAUAUUUAAUAUAGUAAUAUAUUGUAUAAUAUACUAAUAUAUUACUGAAAUUCUCAAGGAGAUUCUACUUUGUUACUGUUUGCAUGUUUUUGCAUCAUUUGUCCUUUUUCCUUUCUCUCUGUAUAUAAAAAUGAAGAUUUGAAAAACAUAUUAGCAGUCGAAUCUAAUAUGCUAAUGGAUGAAAUGAAAACAAAAACCAAACAAAAGGGAAAAAAACAAAACAAAAACCUUUAGUCAACUUCAAUUUAGUGACUGAUUUAACUGAUAGGCCAAAUAAAUUAGAAUUCAUAUGCAAAAGCUGCUUCCCCAGAGAGCUUUUUA